CCUACGGGAGGCAGCAGUAGGGAAUAUUGCUCAAUGGGGGAAACCCUGAAGCAGCAACGCCGCGUGAGUGAUGAAGGUUUUCGGAUUGUAAACUCCUUUUGUUAGAGAAGAUAAUGACGGUAUCUAACGAAUAAGCACCGGCUAACUACGUGCCAGCAGCCGCGGUAAUACGGAGGGUGCAAGCGUUACUCGGAAUCACUGGGCGUAAAGAGCGCGUAGGCGGGACAGCAAGUCAGAUGUGAAAGGUUAGGGCUUAACCAUAGAACUGCAUUUGAAACUGUUAAUCUAGAGUAUGGGAGAGGUAGGUGGAAUUCUUGGUGUAGCGGUAAAAUGCGUAGAGAUUAAGAGGAAUACUCAUUGCGAAGGCGGCCUGCUAGAACAUAACUGACGCUGAUGCGCGAAAGCGUGGGGAGCAAACAGGAUUAGAUACCCUAGUAGUC
This 440-nucleotide ribosomal RNA is filed under the name uncultured bacterium. RNAcentral describes it as "partial 16S ribosomal RNA". It matches the Rfam family "Bacterial small subunit ribosomal RNA", at positions 338 to 795 of the family's 1533-position model. The record is from RNAcentral.